CAAACGCCGUCUGGAGAGCCGUCGCACCCGUGACGCACCGAAGGAGCAAGGCCCGCCGAACGGCGGGUUGAAUCUCUCAGGUACCGAGGACAGAGGGAGCGGC
Molecule: non-coding RNA, 103 nt
Filed under: Acidovorax sp.
Lineage: Bacteria; Pseudomonadati; Pseudomonadota; Betaproteobacteria; Burkholderiales; Comamonadaceae
Description: Glycine sequence
Rfam family: Glycine riboswitch aptamer
About the family: This family represents the bacterial glycine riboswitch. Glycine riboswitches usually consist of two metabolite-binding aptamers domains with similar structures in tandem.
Source: RNAcentral